Molecule: long non-coding RNA, 881 nt
Organism: Polistes dominula (European paper wasp)
Lineage: Eukaryota; Metazoa; Arthropoda; Insecta; Hymenoptera; Vespidae
Source: RefSeq, a predicted model, not a curated record
GAACACGAGAGUAAGAAGGCCUCAGUAGUCAGAGCUAGCUUAUCUCGAUUGAUGCCGAAUGUUGGAGGUCCAAAGCAAAAUCGGAGGUUACUGUUGUCAUCAGUAGUCACAUCCGUGCUGACCUAUGGAAUAUUAAUCUGGUCUGAUGCCUUGGAAAACCAAGAAUCAUGGAGAAAAGUGGGUCCAAUUUACAGACUUAGUGCCUUACAGAGUCUUAGCUGAGGCAAGAUGGAACCUAUAUCAACGAAAGAGGUCCAACCACACUGAGCCCGGAAGAACUCAGAACAGAACAACGGCAACAUAGCAUCUUGCGAUGGCAACUAUAGUGGGAUGCUGCAGAGAAGGGAAGAUGUUGUCAGGACAUGGCUUUUUCCGGGCGUAUCUCCACCGCUUCAAGCACGAUGAUUCCCCGGAGUGUCCGUCCUGCCCAGGAGUCACUGAAGAUGUGGAGCACGUUUUCUUGUGUGCCCUCGUGUCAACCCGCAGCGUGAUUAACUGGAGAGUAUCCUGAACCAGACAAUCCAACCAGAGACACUAAUAGGAUAGUAAUGCUGUCAUCGAAAACUGCCUGGAACGCUACCAGUACCUUUGCUACUGAAGUCCUUACGGAAUUACGUUCCAUUGAAAGAAGAAAAGCGAAAGACAGUAACUAGAAGGAAGGAAGAAGUCACCUUAGCUACCAGAAGGAAGAGCAGUAGCUAGAUCUUCCCUCCACGAAGUAAUGCCUAACGGCGGUUUCCGUGGGGAUCAGAGGCCAGAGGAAAGGGUAGGUUUUAGUCGGUAUUAACAUCUUGAGUUCGACAUAUUCAGGCGAAACACCUAAGCUUGGAAUACGUAAAUGUAUUUCUUCCUCUAUAAAAUAAAAAAAAAAACACUAACAC